CUUGCAAACUGGAGAUGGCGACCGGCGCACGGGUGAGUAACACGUAUCCAACCUGCCGAUAACUCGGGGAUAGCCUUUCGAAAGAAAGAUUAAUACCCGAUGGCAUAAUAGAACCGCAUGGUUUGAUUAUUAAAGAAUUUCGGUUAUCGAUGGGGAUGCGUUCCAUUAGGCAGUUGGUGGGGUAACGGCCCACCAAACCUUCGAUGGAUAGGGGUUCUGAGAGGAAGGUCCCCCACAUUGGAACUGAGACACGGUCCAAACUCCUACGGGAGGCAGCAUG
RNAcentral lists this ribosomal RNA (280 nucleotides) under uncultured bacterium. RNAcentral describes it as "partial 16S ribosomal RNA". It matches the Rfam family "Bacterial small subunit ribosomal RNA", at positions 75 to 353 of the family's 1533-position model. The record is from RNAcentral.